This 252-nucleotide ribosomal RNA is filed under the name uncultured bacterium. RNAcentral's name for it is "partial 16S ribosomal RNA". It matches the Rfam family "Bacterial small subunit ribosomal RNA", at positions 524 to 776 of the family's 1533-position model. The record is from RNAcentral.
UACGGAGGAUGCGAGCGUUAUCCGGAUUUAUUGGGUUUAAAGGGUGCAUAGGCGGAUCGUUAAGUCAGUGGUCAAAUUGAGGGGCUCAACCCCUUCCCGCCAUUGAAACUGGCGAUCUUGAGUGGAAGAGAAGUAUGCGGAAUGCGUGGUGUAGCGGUGAAAUGCAUAGAUAUCACGCAGAACCCCGAUUGCGAAGGCAGCAUGCCGGCUUCCUACUGACGCUGAAGCACGAAAGCGUGGGGAUCGAACAGG